UUCCAUAUACAAAUUUUAUUGCAAUACCUGUAUUCUAAACGUACAGAUGCAAUGACCCAUUACAGACUUUAAAACCUGCCCACAUAGAAAACUGAGAAGCUCAUUCUGUAUUACAGCCAAAGUUGGUAGGACUUCAAUAGGUGACAGGAAGCUUCUCCAGUCUCUCUCCAAGAACAACCAGGAUCCACCAUAUUUUUGGUCCAAGAUGUAUGCUUUAAGUUGGCAGCUGAGUCUAUGAACGAGUGUAUUUACCCCAGAUGUGCAGCAUAAAUACAGAAGCAAUAAAAAGGAGACUCAUGACCAAAACUGGAACAGGCCCAACUUUGAGCCCUGGGGAGUCCUCAGUGUAGAACCGCCACAUCCCACCAGUGCCUGUGGACGUGGCACGGCCCGCACUCCUCGUCCCACAGCUGGCGUUCUUCCUCUGCCGGACGGUGGAGCCGGCGGCACGGGGAGCCACGGCCUUGCUGGGGGAGCGGCCGGACGUACCGACGUUGGUAGCGCUGGGGCUCGGCCCGGGCAUCGCGGCGGCGCUGAUUGCAGUCGAUCAGUCAGCCGGCAGACACAGCUCCCCACAGCCACGUCCCUACCAGCAAUGGCGCCCCGCCC
This 609-nucleotide long non-coding RNA is filed under the name Gallus gallus (chicken). The record is from RNAcentral. Lineage: Eukaryota; Metazoa; Chordata; Aves; Galliformes; Phasianidae.